CUCUCUUUUCUCCUUUUUUUCCUUUUUUCCUUCUUUCUCCAUUUUUAAUCCCCUUCCUACCCUUACUUGUACAUACACAUACACAUACACAAAAAGGAGAGGUGGAAGAGAGGUGGACGAAAGGAGGGAAAGAGAAGU
RNAcentral lists this non-coding RNA (138 nucleotides) under Palpitomonas bilix. The record is from RNAcentral.